GAACUGAAAAAGAACGAAUCACUCAAAUGAAUCAUAAUUCCCAUCACUAGCAGGAAGGGUGGGCGCUCGAGUGCCUUUCAGGCCCUACCUACUCCACAAAUGACUUUAACAUCGCGUGGUGAUAUAAAAUCAAUGCACGGCCACUUCCGCGUUUACACUCAGGGGGCGAAAACACCCGCUGCCCCAAGGGAAGCCAUUCAUCUCUACCUAGAGCUGUGAACAUGACAGAAGAAGAAUAUUUGUACUCGCUGCUUGCACAAAGUUUGCCGGAUUACAAUAAACGAUAUUCGUCAGCAUUGUGAGACUGCCAGCUGCCCCCCUGUCAAUUAAAAUGGAGAAGUACUUCAAACUACGUUUAAAAAUACAUGGACAGCUUGGAUGCUAUUGCUAUUAGCAGGUACCACGUAACGUUAAGGCUGGAUAACACUGAGUGACAUCAUCUUUACACGGAGUUUAUCAAAGAUUUUUAGCCCUUAAAUACCUUUACCUUUAAACAACAAAUUUGUAUGAAUCUGACCCCAGAUAUCAAUAACACAGUUCACGGUAAGACACAUCUGUCAUAUGGCUCUAAUAUUCAGGUUUGCUGUAAAGAACCAGACAUCGCUUGGCUCAUAAAAGCUCCCAGUCAGAAUCAGAUGACAGGAAAUCAGGCAGAGGACGACAUGUUUCAGAAUUAUGAUGAAGUCAGAGAAGACACUAAAUUUAGAAGCAGGACACACCAAAGGAUAGCUGUGACCUAAAGCUUCAAUUUAUUGUUUUAAUAAUUUUGUGAAGUUUUCCAAAGAUCACAGACAAAGUCGUACUGUUAACCACAAGAAAUAUGAGAAAUGGUUAAGAGCCGGGAUAACAUAAGAAGAACAGGGACAUCUUUUGAAAUAGUAGUGAUCAUUUUUACUGUGUAUUGUGAGAAUUUCAUAUAGUCCAUUCAUUUUAAUCAUUUUACUUUACAAUAUUCCAAUAUGAAACCUUAUUUAAAUCAAAAGCAUUUGUUUGACGUAUAUAAUAGUUUUUGUAUUUGCAUUUUACCAGACAAUUUCUCUGUAUCAGUUAUUAUAUACAAGUUUACAUUGAUACAUAAAUAAAUAGUUACACACAAAAAAGUACACACUAAGAACAUAUAAUGCAUUAUAUGCAUACAAGCACAUAUAAUGCAUGUUACGUACACAAACAAAUAUGUACAGUACAUUAAUGUCUAAGUAGAUAUUUACGUUAUUUUUAUUUACAUUACAAUUUGUACAAAUAAAACCAAAUUUAUGUAUCCGCAGUGUUACGUUUAUUCUUUAGCAUUAGCUAACGCUAGCGCUUUCACCAGUAGACCAUUUGAUCUUCAGUAGCGGACGUGCUGUGGCUCAAUCACAUCUGCACUCUUAACGUGAUGACAACAAACUGUAGUACCAGUUAAGGUUUAAAUCCUUAUGUGUAAUAAAGUAAAUCCAUGCUCGGAACAUUAUUAAAUCUCUGUGAAGCUUCAUAAAACAGGACACAGCCAUGCCUGAAGGAACCACAGUCACGUGUGUAUUUAAACGCUGCAGGUCAUGACUAAAUUAAAGUUUUGUAUUAUAGCACCGUUACGUCUUUAAUAUAUAGUAUUUUAACAAUACGAUGUAUUUCACUUAUCUAUAUUACACGUUAAUUCCCCCCAAAACGAGCGCUGGUAAAGCACAUUUGCUAUGGGUGAAUACAACCCGGAAGCUUUCCCGCCCCCUGAGAUUUUACCGGAAAUACGUAGGCAGCACUCCAUGCAUUGAGUGCAUUAGACAGCCUUUAUGAUGCCAAUGCUAAGCCAAUGGCUGUGGUUGAGGCGGAUGGGCACAGCAUGGGCUGCCAGAUGACCUUGUAACUGUCAGGCCCUCUUCUAGUUUGUUUUUUAGUUUGAUCUUUUUUUCUUUCCUUUUCCCCCAAACUCUUCUCCUGCCUGAUCCCUGAUGAAGCUACUCACAACGUUUAUCAACCUCACCUGUUCCUCAUUUUCUCUUCCCCUAUUUAUGCCAGUUCUUUUCCUUCACUCGGCGCGCAGAUGUAUUGUGUUGUCUUGUCUCAUCAGGAGUGUACUGAUGUGUUUCGUGUCUUCUCUAGACCCAGAACCCACAAGCUAGGACUUGAAUCCUGCACCUCUCAUCAGCGAGUUGUCAGCGAGAACCGGUUUGGACUUUCUCUUCCACUUGGCUGUUUUCUCUCUGCUCACUAGCAUUGCAGACGCCGGCGUGUGCCCAGCCAGCCUGUGUGGAUUAUCUUUGUGUGCCAGGAGUACCCCGUCACCUUUUUUUUCUUGUUUUUUUAUCACGUGUGAAUAAACUUUCUGUUAAGACAUUUUCCUCCAUCUGACUCCUUCUGUUUCAUGACAGUAAUAAUGCGACACACACCCAGGCCUGAUCAACCUGCGGUGGGCUUCCCUUGGCUGAGGGUGUCUUGUGAUGAAGGGCCGAAACACCCAAUGAGGCUGAGGAGCACAACUGACCAUGUGUCGCAUUGAUGGGAACCAGAGCACCUCACCAAAAGGAUAAUGGAUGUGAUGAAAGUGGGAUCGGACCGGACACACAACUCAUGAGAUGUCUCUCUGAUAAUAGCAAGGAAAAAUUGAGUGCGCUGCCCGGCAUCCAGCUGUCCCCAGGGCAGUGUCCUGCUAAACUCAGGAGAUUCGGUCACUUCGACUAGAUCGGUGGUUUUAUUCAGGUCCAACAAAACAGAGCGGGCCUUACAAGCCUGUUUCGAGUGCACCGAUUGGAGUGUUUUUGAAGCUGCUACCAGCGAUCUGGACGAGCUCACAGAGACUGUAACAUCAUACAUCAGUUUCUGUGAGGAUUUGUGCAUUCCUACCAGGACUUCCUUAAUAUACAACAAUGAUAAACCAUGGUUCUCAGUAAAACUCAGACAGAUUCGCCAAGCCAAGGAGGAUGCCUACAGAAAAGGGGACAAUGUCUUGUACAAGCAGGCUAGGAACACAUUGACAAAGGAGAUCAGAGUGGCUAAGAGAAACUACUCUAAAAAAGUUGGAAAACCGGUUUUCAGACAAUGACCCUGCGUCUGUGUGGAAAGGCCUUAAAGACAUCACCAACUACAAGCCACCAUCCCCCAAUUUUGCAGGCAAUCAACACCUGGUCAAUGAUCUGAAUGACUUUUACUGCAGAUUUAAAAUGCUAACUUUACACCUAACACCAACUCUGACAUUCUCUCUACACAACACCUAUCACCUUCAGUCACCCCUCCUCCUGCACUUCAGAUCAGUGAAGAGGAUGUGUGCCGAGUCUUUAGGAAACAAAAGACAAGAAAAGCACCAGGCCCAGAUGGUAUCUCCCCAGCCUGUCUUAAAAGCUGUGCUAUUCAACUGGCCUUCAUCUUCUCUCAGAUCUUCAACAGAUCACUGGAGCUGUGCACAGUUCCUUCCUGUUUCAAUCGCUCCACCAUAAUCCCCAUCCCAAAGAAACCCAAAAUCACAGGACUGAAUGUCUACAGACCCGUCGCUCUCACAUCUGUGGUCAUGAAGUCAUUCGAGAGACUGGUACUGGCUUAUCUGAAGGACAUCACAGAACCCUUACUGGACCCCCUGCAGUUUGCCUAAAGAGCAAACCGCUCUGUUGAGGAUGCAGUUAACAUGGGGCUGCAUUUUGUCCUGAAACAUCUGGAUAGACCAGGGACCUAUGUGAGGAUCCUGUUUGUGGACUUCAGCUCCGCUUUCAACACCAUCAUCCCAUCACUGCUCCAGACAAAAGUUAACCCAGCUAUCUGUUCCUGGCUCUAUCUGUCUUAUGUUUACAUUUACACAGUGUGUAUGGUAGUGCUGUAGUACUCGAGUCCGGACUCGAGACGUUUUUUUGUGAUCUCGGACUUGUCUUGGUCUCGUUGGUAUUUGCACUCGGACUUGUCUCGGACUUGGUCAUUGGUCUCGACUGAGUCCAGACAUAUUUGUGACCCUGGACAACAAAACCAGUCUUAUGGGUCAAAAACUCGAAAUUGAGAUUUUUACAUAAUCUGAAAGCUCAACAAAUAAACUUUCUAUAGAUAUAUGAGUUGUUAGAAUAGGACAAUAUCUGGCUGAGAUACAACCGUUUAAAACUCUGGAAUCUGAGAGUGCAAAAAAAUAAAAAUAUUGAGAAAAUUGGCUUUUGAAGUUGUUAAUCAGGGGCACUGUGGCAGACCAUCCACUCACAAAAAUAAAGUUUUUAUAUAUUUAAGGUAGGAAAUUUACAAAAUAUCUUCAUGGAACAUGAUCUUUACUUAAUAUCCUAAUGAUUUUUGACGUAAAAGAAAAAUAGAUAAUCUUGACCCACACAAUUGUAUUUUUGUCUUUUACUAAAAAUGUUCCCGUGCUACUUAAGACUGGUUUAGUGAUCCAGGGUCACAUAUAUAUUCUCCUUCAAAACAAAACAUUGAUAGCGCAUACUUCUUGCGAUCCGAAAACUGUUGCCGACUCUCGACUCUAGAACGAGAGCCGCGCGUUCAUAAGUUCUCUCUUCACACAGCAGUUCAGUGUGUGCUGUUGGUGUAACUAAAUAACUCCGGUAUAUUGGUUCAAGUCCUCGGUGUGCACGCCAGAAAGUGAAGAACUGAAUUAAUUUGUGGGUAAUAUUAAGUGUUUACGGGAGACGCUAAACGCGAACAAUUCAGGUGAACUGGUUCGACCGGUUCACUUAAAAGAAUGAACCGGUUCAAAUGAACGAUUCGUCCGCGUCCCGAACUGAACAACAUCAAUCAUUCAUCAGGCACGAUGUCAGCGAGCAGCGGCAUAAUAACAUUUGGUUUUACAAACCAUAAAGAAUUUAUCGACAGUGCGCUCAAAAGGAAACUUUUUGCAACAAAACUUUCUCCGAAACCUGUGGGACAACAUCCAAUUCUGUAAGAAACCUAAGGCAUCACAAAGAGAGGUGAGUUAAUGCCAUGUUUCAGAGUUAGCAUUGCAUUUGAAUAUUUUUAGAAAGUAGUUAUGAGUUUAGAAAGUAGGGCUUCAAGAUAAGAUUGAUCGUAUUUUUAUUGUCAUUUCGAUAUGAACAUGUUAUUUAAGUAUGGGCACUGAAACGUGCUUUUAAACGAGCCAUGGGGCCUCUGCUCUUUCUGGCAGCUCCUCUAUCGACCACGCACGAGCACGGGCAGGCGUGCACACGCACGCACACAAAGGUGUUAAAAAGUUCCUUAAAAAAGUGUGGGGGGGGGGUUUGGUUACUUUGGGGGACACCAAGUCAUAAGUUCAAGAAUGGGAACAUAUUCAAGUGUUUGCUGAUUAUUUGUUACAUUUUCUAUUGGCAGAAUAGGAUUGUUACACUUAAAUAAAAAAAAGUGAAGUUACACGUCGGCUUUGUGACUUUAGUGCUAUACCUAAAGUAAAUAAAAUUACCUUUUUUAAGGUAAAAUAAAAUUCUCUUUUUGAUCAAUACCAAUAAUGAUAAUUGAAGAUAUGCUAUCUCUUGCAUCACAAAAAUUCUCAAUAGUUAAGUAUGUGGUCUUGUCAUGAUUUUUUUCUGUCUCUGUCUUGACUUGUACUCGAACCUCUUUGGACUUGUCUUGGACUCGACAACGGUGGACUUGACUACAGCCUUGUGUAUGGAACCAAACUGAACAACUUCUGCUUUGAUAACACAUUUAAACGUGCAUAUGUCUCUCUCUUCUGUAAGCGCGGGGCAAGAAAGUCACAUGAAAAUGUACUUGCUAUUUCACACGUUUUGAAAAGCCUCACCAGCCCUGCCGUAAAAAUGACCAUGUUGCCAGAUCAUAUUGUUGAAAAGAACAGCAAACAAUGACCAGUGUUGGGCAAGUUACCUCCAAAAUGUAAUAAAUUAUAUAUUACUGUCAAUUAAAAGUAAUUAGUUGUAUUACAAUAUUACUGUCUUUGAAUUGUAAUGCGUUACACAACUUUUGCAUUACAUUGAUCAAAAUAACCACAAAAGUAUGACUACCCUGCUGAAAAAAAACACCACAGAAAUUCUAAUGGUUUCCAUUAAAACUCCAUUGGAAACCAUUAGGUUUUAUUAAAAACGAGUGCUG
This is a long non-coding RNA of Triplophysa rosa, 5976 nucleotides long. RefSeq lists it as uncharacterized. The record is from RefSeq and is a predicted model, not a curated record. Lineage: Eukaryota; Metazoa; Chordata; Actinopteri; Cypriniformes; Nemacheilidae. The transcript is spliced from 3 exons.